UAUGAGUAAUGGCGUGUAGGCCUAAGUU
Molecule: small RNA, 28 nt
Filed under: Bombyx mori (domestic silkworm)
Lineage: Eukaryota; Metazoa; Arthropoda; Insecta; Lepidoptera; Bombycidae
Description: ovarian small RNA-6634
Source: RNAcentral